Molecule: unclassified non-coding RNA, 280 nt
Organism: Mesocricetus auratus (golden hamster)
Lineage: Eukaryota; Metazoa; Chordata; Mammalia; Rodentia; Cricetidae
Gene: 7SK
Rfam family: 7SK RNA
About the family: 7SK was discovered as an abundant small nuclear RNA in the mid-70s but a possible function has only recently been suggested. Two independent studies have found that 7SK RNA binds the CDK9/cyclin T complex (known as elongation factor P-TEFb). P-TEFb activates transcription by phosphorylating the C-terminal domain of RNA polymerase II.
Source: Ensembl
AGAUGUAAGGGUGAUCUGGCUGUGACAUCUGCCACCCCAUUUCUCCAAGGUUAACUUAGCUGGUCUGGGUGACUAGGCAACAUCUCCUUCCUUCCUCACCACUCCACAUGUCCCUCCCUCUAAAGAUGUGCAUGCUGUAGAAGAGGAUGACCUGCCCCAAAUAAAGGAAGACCUGUCUUCAAGACAAGGGUGUAGUAGUAACUGCACCCCCUCCAAACAUGCUCUCACAGGAUUUAUCUGACUAUGUAAAAAGCAGAAACUCUCUCUCAAACUACAAAUG